GCGGAGAUGCUGGAGUGGUCAAACAGAGCGCGCUAAGGACGCGCUGGCUUAGUGCCUGCGAAGGUUCGAAUCCUUCUCUCCGCA
Molecule: transfer RNA, 84 nt
Filed under: Candidatus Pacearchaeota archaeon
Lineage: Archaea; Nanobdellati
Description: tRNA-Leu
Rfam family: tRNA
About the family: Transfer RNA (tRNA) molecules are approximately 80 nucleotides in length. Their secondary structure includes four short double-helical elements and three loops (D, anti-codon, and T loops).
Source: RNAcentral